GAUGAACGCUAGCGGCAGGCUUAACACAUGCAAGUCGAGGGGCAGCAAGAAUUGUGCUUGCACAACUUGUUGGCGACCGGCGCACGGGUGCGUAACGCGUAUGCAACCUACCUUUAACAGGGGGAUAACACUGAGAAAUUGGUACUAAUACCCCAUAAUACUUUGAAAGGCAUCUUUCGGAGUUGAAAGUUCCGGCGGUUAGAGAUGGGCAUGCGUUGUAUUAGCUAGAUGGUGAGGUAAUGGCUCACCAUGGCGACGAUACAUAGGGGGACUGAGAGGUCAACCCCCACAUUGGUACUGAGACACGGACCAA
RNAcentral lists this ribosomal RNA (313 nucleotides) under uncultured bacterium. Its description in RNAcentral is "bacterial SSU rRNA". It matches the Rfam family "Bacterial small subunit ribosomal RNA", at positions 28 to 334 of the family's 1533-position model. The record is from RNAcentral.